CCAAAGGCUCUUUUAAGAGCCGCCACAGGGCCACUAAAAAGAGCUGU
This is a non-coding RNA of Colinus virginianus (northern bobwhite), 47 nucleotides long. NCBI's taxonomy places the organism in Eukaryota, Metazoa, Chordata, Aves, Galliformes, Odontophoridae. The record is from Rfam.